GGAGUUGUGGCUCAGUGGUAGAGCACUUGCCUAGCAAGUGUGAGGCACUGGGUUCAAUUCUCAGCACCA
Molecule: transfer RNA, 69 nt
Filed under: Ictidomys tridecemlineatus (thirteen-lined ground squirrel)
Lineage: Eukaryota; Metazoa; Chordata; Mammalia; Rodentia; Sciuridae
Also listed under: 1 other name
Description: Spermophilus tridecemlineatus (thirteen-lined ground squirrel) tRNA
Rfam family: tRNA
About the family: Transfer RNA (tRNA) molecules are approximately 80 nucleotides in length.
Source: Rfam by way of RNAcentral